Molecule: ribosomal RNA, 484 nt
Filed under: uncultured bacterium
Lineage: Bacteria
Description: partial 16S ribosomal RNA
Rfam family: Bacterial small subunit ribosomal RNA
Source: RNAcentral
AUUGAACGCUGGCGGCAUGCUUUACACAUGCCAGUCGAACGGCAGCGCGGGCUUCGGCCUGGCGGCGAGUGGCGAACGGGUGAGUAAUACAUCGGAACGUGCCCGGUAGUGGGGGAUAGCUCGGCGAAAGCCGGAUUAAUACCGCAUACGACCUGAGGGUGAAAGCGGGGGAUCUUCGGACCUCGCGCUAUUGGAGCGGCCGAUGGCAGAUUAGCUAGUUGGUGGGGUAAAGGCCUACCAAGGCGACGAUCUGUAGCUGGUCUGAGAGGACGACCAGCCACACUGGGACUGAGACACGGCCCAGACUCCUACGGGAGGCAGCAGUGGGGAAUUUUGGACAAUGGGCGAAAGCCUGAUCCAGCAAUGCCGCGUGUGUGAUGAAGGCCUUCGGGUUGUAAAGCACUUUUGGCGGGAACGAAAAGGACUGUGCCAAUACCACGGUUCGAUGACGGUACCCGCAGAAUAAGCACCGGCUAACUACGUG